This 2902-nucleotide ribosomal RNA is filed under the name Klebsiella pneumoniae. RNAcentral's name for it is "23S ribosomal RNA". It matches the Rfam family "Bacterial large subunit ribosomal RNA". The record is from RNAcentral. Lineage: Bacteria; Pseudomonadati; Pseudomonadota; Gammaproteobacteria; Enterobacterales; Enterobacteriaceae.
GGUUAAGCGACUAAGCGUACACGGUGGAUGCCCUGGCAGUCAGAGGCGAUGAAGGACGUGCUAAUCUGCGAAAAGCGUCGGUAAGGUGAUAUGAACCGUUAUAACCGGCGAUGUCCGAAUGGGGAAACCCAGUGCAAUUCGUUGCACUAUCGUUAACUGAAUACAUAGGUUAACGAGGCGAACCGGGGGAACUGAAACAUCUAAGUACCCCGAGGAAAAGAAAUCAACCGAGAUUCCCCCAGUAGCGGCGAGCGAACGGGGAGCAGCCCAGAGUCUGAAUCAGCUUGUGUGUUAGUGGAACGGUCUGGAAAGUCCGACGGUACAGGGUGAUAGUCCCGUACACCAAAAUGCACAGGCUGUGAACUCGAAGAGUAGGGCGGGACACGUGGUAUCCUGUCUGAAUAUGGGGGGACCAUCCUCCAAGGCUAAAUACUCCUGACUGACCGAUAGUGAACCAGUACCGUGAGGGAAAGGCGAAAAGAACCCCGGCGAGGGGAGUGAAAAAGAACCUGAAACCGUGUACGUACAAGCAGUGGGAGCACCUUCGGGUGUGACUGCGUACCUUUUGUAUAAUGGGUCAGCGACUUAUAUUCUGUAGCAAGGUUAACCGUAUAGGGGAGCCGCAGGGAAACCGAGUCUUAACUGGGCGUUAAGUUGCAGGGUAUAGACCCGAAACCCGGUGAUCUAGCCAUGGGCAGGUUGAAGGUUGGGUAACACUAACUGGAGGACCGAACCGACUAAUGUUGAAAAAUUAGCGGAUGACUUGUGGCUGGGGGUGAAAGGCCAAUCAAACCGGGAGAUAGCUGGUUCUCCCCGAAAGCUAUUUAGGUAGCGCCUCGUGAACUCAUCUUCGGGGGUAGAGCACUGUUUCGGCUAGGGGGUCAUCCCGACUUACCAACCCGAUGCAAACUACGAAUACCGAAGAAUGUUAUCACGGGAGACACACGGCGGGUGCUAACGUCCGUCGUGAAGAGGGAAACAACCCAGACCGCCAGCUAAGGUCCCAAAGUCAUGGUUAAGUGGGAAACGAUGUGGGAAGGCACAGACAGCCAGGAUGUUGGCUUAGAAGCAGCCAUCAUUUAAAGAAAGCGUAAUAGCUCACUGGUCGAGUCGGCCUGCGCGGAAGAUGUAACGGGGCUAAACCAUGCACCGAAGCUGCGGCAGCGACACUAUGUGUUGUUGGGUAGGGGAGCGUUCUGUAAGCCUGCGAAGGUGACCUGUGAGGGUUGCUGGAGGUAUCAGAAGUGCGAAUGCUGACAUAAGUAACGAUAAAGCGGGUGAAAAGCCCGCUCGCCGGAAGACCAAGGGUUCCUGUCCAACGUUAAUCGGGGCAGGGUGAGUCGACCCCUAAGGCGAGGCCGAAAGGCGUAGUCGAUGGGAAACAGGUUAAUAUUCCUGUACUUGGUGUUACUGCGAAGGGGGGACGGAGAAGGCUAUGUUAGCCGGGCGACGGUUGUCCCGGUUUAAGCAUGUAGGCUGGUUGUCCAGGCAAAUCCGGAUAAUCAAGGCUGAGGUGUGAUGACGAGGCACUACGGUGCUGAAGUAACAAAUGCCCUGCUUCCAGGAAAAGCCUCUAAGCAUCAGGUAACAUCAAAUCGUACCCCAAACCGACACAGGUGGUCAGGUAGAGAAUACCAAGGCGCUUGAGAGAACUCGGGUGAAGGAACUAGGCAAAAUGGUGCCGUAACUUCGGGAGAAGGCACGCUGGUGUGUAGGUGAAGCCCCUGCGGGUGGAGCUGAGACCAGUCGAAGAUACCAGCUGGCUGCAACUGUUUAUUAAAAACACAGCACUGUGCAAACACGAAAGUGGACGUAUACGGUGUGACGCCUGCCCGGUGCCGGAAGGUUAAUUGAUGGGGUUAUCCGUAAGGAGAAGCUCUUGAUCGAAGCCCCGGUAAACGGCGGCCGUAACUAUAACGGUCCUAAGGUAGCGAAAUUCCUUGUCGGGUAAGUUCCGACCUGCACGAAUGGCGUAAUGAUGGCCAGGCUGUCUCCACCCGAGACUCAGUGAAAUUGAACUCGCUGUGAAGAUGCAGUGUACCCGCGGCAAGACGGAAAGACCCCGUGAACCUUUACUAUAGCUUGACACUGAACAUUGAGCCUUGAUGUGUAGGAUAGGUGGGAGGCUUUGAAGCGUGGACGCCAGUCUGCGUGGAGCCAACCUUGAAAUACCACCCUUUAAUGUUUGAUGUUCUAACGUUGGCCCCUGACCGGGGUUGCGGACAGUGUCUGGUGGGUAGUUUGACUGGGGCGGUCUCCUCCCAAAGCGUAACGGAGGAGCACGAAGGUUAGCUAAUCCUGGUCGGACAUCAGGAGGUUAGUGCAAUGGCAUAAGCUAGCUUGACUGCGAGCGUGACGGCGCGAGCAGGUGCGAAAGCAGGUCAUAGUGAUCCGGUGGUUCUGAAUGGAAGGGCCAUCGCUCAACGGAUAAAAGGUACUCCGGGGAUAACAGGCUGAUACCGCCCAAGAGUUCAUAUCGACGGCGGUGUUUGGCACCUCGAUGUCGGCUCAUCACAUCCUGGGGCUGAAGUAGGUCCCAAGGGUAUGGCUGUUCGCCAUUUAAAGUGGUACGCGAGCUGGGUUUAGAACGUCGUGAGACAGUUCGGUCCCUAUCUGCCGUGGGCGCUGGAGAAUUGAGGGGGGCUGCUCCUAGUACGAGAGGACCGGAGUGGACGCAUCACUGGUGUUCGGGUUGUCAUGCCAAUGGCACUGCCCGGUAGCUAAAUGCGGAAGAGAUAAGUGCUGAAAGCAUCUAAGCACGAAACUUGCCCCGAGAUGAGUUCUCCCUGAGACUUUAAGUCUCCUGAAGGAACGUUAAAGACGAUGACGUUGAUAGGCCGGGUGUGUAAGCGCAGCGAUGCGUUGAGCUAACCGGUACUAAUGAACCGUGAGGCUUAACCUU